This 417-nucleotide ribosomal RNA is filed under the name Pipa snethlageae group sp. ABGD cluster 8. Its description in RNAcentral is "partial large subunit ribosomal RNA". It matches the Rfam family "Archaeal large subunit ribosomal RNA", at positions 1900 to 2447 of the family's 2987-position model. The record is from RNAcentral. Lineage: Eukaryota; Metazoa; Chordata; Amphibia; Anura; Pipidae.
CAAAAACAUCGCCUCUUGCCAACACACAAGUAUAAGAGGUCCAGCCUGCCCAGUGACAAAUUGUUCAACGGCCGCGGUAUUCUGACCGUGCAAAGGUAGCGCAAUCACUUGUCUUUUAAAUAAAGACUAGUAUGAAAGGCACCACGAAGAUUCAACUGUCUCUCUUAUCCAGUCAGUGAAACUGAUCUCCCCGUGCAGAAGCGGGGAUAAACACACAAGACGAGAAGACCCUAUGGAGCUUAAAACAUAAGCAACUGCUAUCCAAUAAACAUCAAAAGACUAAAACUCUAAUCAGGCGGAAAUGACUCAAUGUUUUCGGUUGGGGCGACCACGGAGAACAAAACAUCCUCCGAGAAGAAUAGGACACAAUCCUAAAAAGAACAACAGCUCUAAAUAUCAGAACAUCUGACUUUGAUC